AAAUUGAAGAGUUUGAUCAUGGCUCAGAUUGAACGCUGGCGGCAGGCCUAACACAUGCAAGUCGAACGGUAACAGAAAGCAGCUUGCUGCUUUGCUGACGAGUGGCGGACGGGUGAGUAAUGUCUGGGAAACUGCCUGAUGGAGGGGGAUAACUACUGGAAACGGUAGCUAAUACCGCAUAAUGUCGCAAGACCAAAGAGGGGGACCUUCGGGCCUCUUGCCAUCGGAUGUGCCCAGAUGGGAUUAGCUAGUAGGUGGGGUAACGGCUCACCUAGGCGACGAUCCCUAGCUGGUCUGAGAGGAUGACCAGCCACACUGGAACUGAGACACGGUCCAGACUCCUACGGGAGGCAGCAGUGGGGAAUAUUGCACAAUGGGCGCAAGCCUGAUGCAGCCAUGC
RNAcentral lists this ribosomal RNA (400 nucleotides) under Escherichia coli. Its description in RNAcentral is "bacterial SSU rRNA". It matches the Rfam family "Bacterial small subunit ribosomal RNA", at positions 1 to 397 of the family's 1533-position model. The record is from RNAcentral. Lineage: Bacteria; Pseudomonadati; Pseudomonadota; Gammaproteobacteria; Enterobacterales; Enterobacteriaceae.